UAAUUGAAGAGUUUGAUCAUGGCUCAGAUUGAACGCUGGCGGCAGGCCUAACACAUGCAAGUCGAGCGGUAACAGGGGAAGCUUGCUUCUCGCUGACGAGCGGCGGACGGGUGAGUAAUGUAUGGGGAUCUGCCCGAUAGAGGGGGAUAACUACUGGAAACGGUAGCUAAUACCGCAUAAUCUCUCAGGAGCAAAGCAGGGGAACUUCGGUCCUUGCGCUAUCGGAUGAACCCAUAUGGGAUUAGCUAGUAGGUGAGGUAAUGGC
RNAcentral lists this ribosomal RNA (265 nucleotides) under Providencia rettgeri. RNAcentral describes it as "partial 16S ribosomal RNA". It matches the Rfam family "Bacterial small subunit ribosomal RNA", at positions 1 to 264 of the family's 1533-position model. The record is from RNAcentral. Lineage: Bacteria; Pseudomonadati; Pseudomonadota; Gammaproteobacteria; Enterobacterales; Morganellaceae.